GGCCUACGGCACCUAUGCCGCCCGGGGGAUGGCUCGGCUCGGGCGCCGAGGAAGGGCGUGGCAAGCUGCGAUAAGCCCGGGGUAGGCGCAGGCAGCCGUCGAACCCGGGAUCCCCGAAUGGGACUUCCCGCUGCGGGCGAAGAGCCCGCAGCGCCCCCGUUUGGGGGCGGGAACCCCCCGAAAGGAAGCAUCUGAGUAGGGGGAGGAGAAGAAACCAACAGGGAUCCCCUGAGUAGGGGCGACCGAAAGGGGGAGAGCCCAAACCAAUCCCCCACGGGAGGACCGUGGGGGGAUGAGGGGUUGCGGCCCUGCGGCUGGGGCUUCGAGCCCCGGCGGGCCGACCCACGGUAGCCGAAGUGGGCUGGAAUGCCCCGCCGUAGAGGGUGAUAGCCCCGUAGGCGAAACCGUGGGGGCCCGUGCCGCAGGGCAGAGUACCACGGCUUGGUAUUGCCGUGGGAAGCUGGGAGGAACCGACUUCCAAGGCUAAAUACGUCCCGAGACCGAUAGCGAACUAAGUACCGUGAGGGAAAGCUGAAAAGAACCCCGGGAGGGGGGUGAAAAGAGCCUGAAACCGGGCGGCGACAUACGGUGCGGCCCGAAAGGGGUGAAACCCCCGAAGGAAACCCGGGCGACCGGGGAGUACGAGGGGGAUGGACCGGGGUCGCACCGUCCGUCUUGAAACACGGGCCGGGGAGUUCACGGCCGUGGCGAGCUUAAGGGGGUCAACCCCGUAGGCGCAGGGAAACCGACAGGCCCGCAGCCGGGGGCGACCCCGGCGAGGGGCGGGGUCCUAAUAGGGCCCGGAGUCACGGCCGUGAGACCAGAAACCGGGCGAUCUAGGCGGGGGCAGGGCGAAGCCGGGGGAAACCCCGGUGGAGGCCCGCAAGGGUGCUGACGUGCAAAUCGCUCCCCUGACCCCCGUCUAGGGGUGAAAGGCCAAUCUAGCCCGGAAGAUAGCUGGUUCCCGCCGAAGUGGCUCGCAGGCCAGCCCCGCCGGAGGCCGGGCCGUGGGGUAGAGCUACUGAUUGGGCGUGCAGGGGGCGUAAAGCCCCCGGCGCCCAGUCAAACUCCGAACCUGCGGCCGCCGUAGAUGGCGGGAGUGGGGUUCCCCGGGGUAAGCCCGGGGGCCGAGAGGGGAACAACCCAGACCGGGGUUAAGGCCCCUAAGUGCCGGCUAAGUGCCAAGCCAAAGGGCGUCCCCCGCCUAAGACAGCGGGGAGGUGGGCCUAACAGCAGCCAUCCUCUAAAGGCGGGUUACCUCACCCUUCCAGGUGCUGGGUUUAACUGAAUCUUAGUAUUACAUUUUGUAGUUCAUGCCAGGAUAGGGUAGAAGGUACUAGUCUAAUAGGAUUUAGGCAUCCUCAGAAGUCAGGGCGUGCAUUUAGACUCUUAACGAAGUUUGGUCAUGCUAAUUAUUAUUUCCCUUUGGGUGGGGUGCCCGCCGGAGAGGGAGUGCGUAACAGCUCACCCGCCGAGGCGGGGGGCCCCGAAGAUUGGUCGGGGCUUAAGCCGGCCGCCGAGACCCCGGGCCGCGGCUCCGAUGGAGCCGCGUGCGGUAGGCGGGCGUCGGGGUGGCGUAGAAGCCGGGCCGCGAGGUCCGGUGGAGCCGCCCCGAGCGCGGAUCCCGGCGGUAGUAACAGCGAAGCGGGGUGAGAAUCCCCGCCGCCGGAAAGGGCAAGGGUUCCCCGGCAAUGGUCGUCAGCCGGGGGUCAGCCGGUCCUAACCGGGACCGUAACACGGAUCCCGGGAAGGGGAAACGGGUUAACAUUCCCGUGCCGCGGGGGUACGCUUCGCGGCAACGCAAGGCCCCACCCCCGACGCCUCGGGGUAGGCGGACCGGGGGCCCCCUUAGGGGGGCGACCCGGCUAACCUGCCGAAGGCCGGGGAGUGCCGUAACGGCGAGAACCGGCCGAAGGGGGGAAUGGCCCGCCUAUGGCGGGUUCCGCCGACCCCUGGGGCCCUUGAAAAGGGGGUGGGGAAGGAUCCCCCGCGCCCGUACCGAGAACCGACACAGGUGCCCCUGGGUGAGCAGCCCAAGGCGUCUGGGGGCUAACCCGGGCCAGGGAACUCGGCAAAUUGGCCCCGUAACUUCGGGAGAAGGGGUGCCUGCGGUCCUGGGGCUCGAACCCUGGGACCGCAGGUCGCAGUGCCUAGGGGGGCCUGACUGUUUAACAAAAACAUAGCUCCCCGCUAGCCCGAAAAGGGUGUGUACGGGGGGUGAGCCCUGGCCACUGGCGGUCCGUGAAACCGGGGUACAACCCGGCGAAGCGCCGCUGAAGGCCGGGAGUAACCCUGACUCUCUUAACGGGGGUUAUCCACCGCCAGUCACAGUAUAUAUUAGGGUUUUGGUUUCUUGGCUUCUUAUUGAGGAUAGAUUAGAGUGGAUCAGUGUCUACUGGAGGGAUAUGUGGCGGGAAUAAUAGAUGCCGAAGCUAGCCUCUCAGUAAGCAUAAAAAUUCAAGAGGAUCUAAGAUGUCGUGUGCGCGUCGAUCCUGUGUUCAGUAUAACACAAGACAGCAAAGACGUGUUAAACGUGGUGAAAAACUACUUUGGCUGUGGCAGGUUGAUGCCGAAACCAGGUCAAGAACAUCUAACAUUAUAUGUGGUUGAUAGGCUAGAGGCUCUUGCUGAUUGUCUAAUCCCUAAAUUGGAUCGUCUACCAUUAAUCGUCAAGAAAAGAGGAUUCGAGAUGUUCCGUGAGAUUGUAUUAACGUUAACCCGAAUGAAAUAUAGACGAGUCGAGUGCUGCGUCAUAAGAGACUUGGUAUUGAAAUCGUACUCCCUAUCUAGCCUAAAUAAAAAGUCUAAGCGAAAACGCUCGCUAGAAGAAAUUUUGAAGAUUAUUCCUUGUGAUAAGGCGGUGGAGCCCCCGGGAGAAAGGUAGCCAAAUGCCUUGCCGGGUAAGUUCCGGCGCGCAUGAACGGGUCAACGAGGUCCCCACUGUCCUGGCCCGGGGCCCCGUGAACCCCCUGAGCCGAUGCACAGUCCGGCAUCCCCCCGCAGGGAGAGAAGACCCCGUGGAGCUUUACCGCAGCCCGGCGUUGGCCCCCGGGCGGGGGUGCGUAGCGUAGGUGGGAGCCGAUGAGCCACCCUCUCCGGGGGGUGGGGAGGCGUCCAUGAAACACCACCCACCCCCGCCCGGGGGCCUAACCCCGCCCCGGGUGGGCGGGGGACAGCGUCGGGUGGGCGGUUUGGCUGGGGCGGCACGCCCGCGAAAGGGUAACACGGGCGCCCAAAGGUCGGCUCAGGCGGGUCAGAACUCCGCCGUAGAGUGCAAGGGCAAAAGCCGGCCUGACCGGACCCCUGAAAGCAAGGGGUCCGGCCGGGAAACCGUGGCCUAGCGCACGCUCGUGCCCCCUCGGUGGGGGCCGGGCACGACAGAAAAGUUACCCCGGGGAUAACAGAGUCGUCGCGGGCGAGAGCCCCCAUCGACCCCGCGGUUUGCUACCUCGAUGUCGGCUCUUCCCAUCCUGGGGGUGCAGCAGCCCCCAAGGGUGGGGCUGCCCGCCCAUUAAAGGGGAACGUGAGCUGGGUUCAGACCGUCGUGAGACAGGUCGGUCUCUACCCGCGGGGGGUGUGGGCCGCCUGAGGGGAAGGUGCCCUUAGUACGAGAGGAACGGGGCGCCGCGGCCUCUGGUGUACCGGUUGUCCUGGUGGGCAACGCCGGGCAGCUAAGCCGUAGGGGGUAACCGCUGAAAGCAUCUAAGCGGGAACCCCUCCCCGAAAAGAGGCGGCCGUUGGGCGCCGGCCUGGUGCCGGCGUCCACGAGGGCUCCCGUAGAAGACGGGGUUGAUGGGGCGGGGGUGUGAGCCCCGAGGGGGCUUAGCCCUCGAGGGGUGUAGCCCGCCGCUCCCAAUCGCCCGAGGCCGUAGGCU
This 3875-nucleotide ribosomal RNA is filed under the name Aeropyrum pernix K1. RNAcentral describes it as "Archaeal large subunit ribosomal RNA". It matches the Rfam family "Archaeal large subunit ribosomal RNA". The record is from Rfam by way of RNAcentral. Lineage: Archaea; Thermoproteati; Thermoproteota; Thermoprotei; Acidilobales; Acidilobaceae.